RNAcentral lists this ribosomal RNA (468 nucleotides) under uncultured bacterium. RNAcentral describes it as "partial 16S ribosomal RNA". It matches the Rfam family "Bacterial small subunit ribosomal RNA", at positions 28 to 507 of the family's 1533-position model. The record is from RNAcentral.
GACGAACGCUGGCGGCGUGCUUAACACAUGCAAGUCGAACGGAAAGGCCCUGCUUUUGUGGGGUGCUCGAGUGGCGAACGGGUGAGUAACACGUGAGUAACCUGCCCUUGACUUUGGGAUAACUUCAGGAAACUGGGGCUAAUACCGGAUAGGAGCUCCUGCUGCGUGGUGGGGGUUAGAAAGUUUCGGCGGUUGGGGAUGGACUCGCGGCUUAUCAGCUUGUUGGUGGGGUAGUGGCUUACCAAGGCUUUGACGGGUAGCCGGCCUGAGAGGGUGACCGGCCACAUUGGGACUGAGAUACGGCCCAGACUCCUACGGGAGGCAGCAGUGGGGAAUAUUGCACAAUGGGCGGAAGCCUGAUGCAGCAACGCCGCGUGCGGGAUGACGGCCUUCGGGUUGUAAACCGCUUUCGCCUGUGACGAAGCGUGAGUGACGGUAAUGGGUAAAGAAGCACCGGCUAACUACGUG